This 492-nucleotide ribosomal RNA is filed under the name uncultured bacterium. Its description in RNAcentral is "partial 16S ribosomal RNA". It matches the Rfam family "Bacterial small subunit ribosomal RNA", at positions 29 to 507 of the family's 1533-position model. The record is from RNAcentral.
AGUGAACGCUGGCGGUAGGCCUAACACAUGCAAGUCGAACGGCAGCACAGUAAGAGCUUGCUCUUACGGGUGGCGAGUGGCGGACGGGUGAGGAAUACAUCGGAAUCUACUUUUUCGUGGGGGAUAAUGUAGGGAAACUUACGCUAAUACCGCAUACGACCUACGGGUGAAAGCAGGGGAUCUUCGGACCUUGCGCGAUUGAAUGAGCCGAUGUCGGAUUAGCUAGUUGGCGGGGUAAAGGCCCACCAAGGCGACGAUCCGUAGCUGGUCUGAGAGGAUGAUCAGCCACACUGGAACUGAGACACGGUCCAGACUCCUACGGGAGGCGGCAGUGGGGAAUAUUGGACAAUGGGCGCAAGCCUGAUCCAGCCAUACCGCGUGGGUGAAGAAGGCCUUCGGGUUGUAAAGCCCUUUUGUUGGGGAAGAAAAGCAGCAGGUUAAUACCCCGCUGUUCUGACGGUACCCAAAGAAUAAGCACCGGCUAACUUCGUG